RNAcentral lists this ribosomal RNA (102 nucleotides) under Escherichia coli. Lineage: Bacteria; Pseudomonadati; Pseudomonadota; Gammaproteobacteria; Enterobacterales; Enterobacteriaceae. RNAcentral also lists the same sequence under 3 other names. The record is from RNAcentral.
CCUGGCGGCAGUAGCGCGGUGGUCCCACCUGACCCCAUGCCGAACUCAGAAGUGAAACGCCGUAGCGCCGAUGGUAGUGUGGGGUCUCCCCAUGCGAGAGUA